This 497-nucleotide ribosomal RNA is filed under the name uncultured bacterium. Its description in RNAcentral is "partial 16S ribosomal RNA". It matches the Rfam family "Bacterial small subunit ribosomal RNA", at positions 28 to 507 of the family's 1533-position model. The record is from RNAcentral.
GACGAACGCUGGCGGCGUGCCUAAUACAUGCAAGUUGAGCGCUGAAGGUUGGUACUUGUACCAACUGGGUGAGCAGCGAACGGGUGAGUAACGCGUGGGGAAUCUGCCUUUGAGCGGGGGACAACAUUUGGAAACGAAUGCUAAUACCGCAUAAAAACUUUAAACACAAGUUUUAAGUUUGAAAGAUGCAAUUGCAUCACUCAAAGAUGAUCCCGCGUUGUAUUAGCUAGUUGGUGAGGUAAAGGCUCACCAAGGCGAUGAUACAUAGCCGACCUGAGAGGGUGAUCGGCCACAUUGGGACUGAGACACGGCCCAAACUCCUACGGGAGGCAGCAGUAGGGAAUCUUCGGGAAUGGACGAAAGGCUGACCGAGCAACGCCGCGGGAGUGAAGAAGGGUUUCGGAUCGGAAAACUCUGUUGGUAGAGAAGAAAGUUGGUGGGAGUGGAAAGCUCAUCAAGUGACGGUAACUACCCAGAAAGGGACGGCUAACUACGUG